AAGAGAUGGCGACCGGCGCACGGGUGAGUAACACGUAUCCAACCUGCCGAUAACUCCGGAAUAGCCUUUCGAAAGAAAGAUUAAUACCGGAUGGCAUACGAAUAUCGCAUGAUAUUUUUAUUAAAGAAUUUCGGUUAUCGAUGGGAUGCGUUCCAUUAGUUUGUUGGCGGGGUAACGGCCCACCAAGACUACGAUGGAUAGGGGUUCUGAGAGGAAGGUCCCCCACAUUGGAACUGAGACACGGUCCAA
RNAcentral lists this ribosomal RNA (249 nucleotides) under uncultured bacterium. RNAcentral describes it as "partial 16S ribosomal RNA". It matches the Rfam family "Bacterial small subunit ribosomal RNA", at positions 83 to 334 of the family's 1533-position model. The record is from RNAcentral.